Molecule: ribosomal RNA, 421 nt
Filed under: uncultured bacterium
Lineage: Bacteria
Description: bacterial SSU rRNA
Rfam family: Bacterial small subunit ribosomal RNA
Source: RNAcentral
UAAGGAAUAUUGGUCAAUGGACGCAAGUCUGAACCAGCCAUGCCGCGUGAAGGAUGAAGGUCCUCUGGAUUGUAAACUUCUUUUAUCUGGGACGAAAACGGGAUUUUUAUCUCAAUUGACGGUACCAGAGGAAUAAGCACCGGCUAACUCCGUGCCAGCAGCCGCGGUAAUACGGAGGGUGCGAGCGUUAUCCGGAUUUACUGGGUUUAAAGGGUGCGUAGGUGGGCUUAUAAGUCAGUGGUGAAAUCUCCGAGCUUAACUUGGAAACUGCCGUUGAUACUAUAGGUCUUGAAUUAUCUGGAGGUAAGCGGAAUAUGUCAUGUAGCGGUGAAAUGCUUAGAUAUGACACAGAACACCGAUCGCGAAGGCAGCUAGCUAAGCUAUAACUGACGCUCAUGCACGAAAGCGUGGGGAUCAAACA